This 447-nucleotide ribosomal RNA is filed under the name uncultured bacterium. RNAcentral describes it as "bacterial SSU rRNA". It matches the Rfam family "Bacterial small subunit ribosomal RNA", at positions 330 to 792 of the family's 1533-position model. The record is from RNAcentral.
GCCAGACUCCUACGGGAGGCAGCAGUGGGGAAUAUUGGGCAAUGGGCGCAAGCCUGACCCAGCAACGCCGCGUGAAGGAAGAAGGCUUUCGGGUUGUAAACUUCUUUUGACAGGGAAGAGCAGAAGACGGUACCUGUCGAAUAAGCCACGGCUAACUACGUGCCAGCAGCCGCGGUAAUACGUAGGGGGCAAGCGUUAUCCGGAUUCACUGGGUGUAAAGGGAGCGUAGACGGCGACGCAAGUCUGGAGUGGAAGCCCGGGGCCCAACCCCGGGACUGCUCUGGAAACUGCGGCGCUGGAGUACGGGAGGGGCAGGCGGAAUUCCUGGUGUAGCGGUGAAAUGCGUAGAUAUACGGAGGAACACCAGUGGCGAAGGCGGCCUGCUGGACAUUAACUGACGCUGAGGCGCGAAAGCGUGGGGAGCAAACAGGAUUAGAUACCCCUGUA